This 300-nucleotide ribosomal RNA is filed under the name uncultured Desulfotomaculum sp. Its description in RNAcentral is "bacterial SSU rRNA". It matches the Rfam family "Bacterial small subunit ribosomal RNA", at positions 496 to 795 of the family's 1533-position model. Lineage: Bacteria; Bacillati; Bacillota; Clostridia; Eubacteriales; Desulfotomaculaceae. The record is from RNAcentral.
GCAAAGUCAGGGCCAGCAGGCGGGUGAAUGGAGAAGGUGGAAGGGGUAAUCGGAAUUACUGGGCGUAAAGCGGGCGUAGGGGGUUUAUUAAGGCAAAGGUGAAAUCCCCGGGCUUAACCUGGGAAUUGCAUGUGAUACUGGUAGGCUAGAGUGUGGGAGAGGAGGGUAGAAUUCCAGGUGUAGCGGUGAAAUGCGUAGAGAUCUGGAGGAAUACCGAUGGCGAAGGCAGCCACCUGGACUAAGACUGACGCUGAGGUGCGAAAGCAUGGGGAGCAAACAGGAUUAGAUACCCUGGUAGUC